GACGAACGCUGGCGGCGUGCUUAACACAUGCAAGUCGAGCGGAAAGGCCCUUUCGGGGGUACUCGAGCGGCGAACGGGUGAGUAACACGUGAGUAAUCUGCCCUUGGCUUUGGGAUAACCACCGGAAACGGUGGCUAAUACCGGAUAUGACGGGCUCCGGCAUCGGGGUUCGUGGAAAGUUUUUCGGCCAGGGAUGUGCUCGCGGCCUAUCAGCUUGUUGGUGGGGUAAUGGCCUACCAAGGCUUCGACGGGUAGCCGGCCUGAGAGGGUGACCGGCCACACUGGGACUGAGACACGGCCCAGACUCCUACGGGAGGCAGCAGUGGGGAAUAUUGGACAAUGGGCGGAAGCCUGAUCCAGCAACGCCGCGUGAGGGAUGACGGCCUCGGUUGUAACGUACUUACUAGUACCGACGAAGACGCCGA
Molecule: ribosomal RNA, 425 nt
Filed under: uncultured bacterium
Lineage: Bacteria
Description: bacterial SSU rRNA
Rfam family: Bacterial small subunit ribosomal RNA
Source: RNAcentral